This 1382-nucleotide long non-coding RNA is filed under the name Numida meleagris (helmeted guineafowl). RNAcentral describes it as "lncRNA (ENSNMEG00000004523.1)". Lineage: Eukaryota; Metazoa; Chordata; Aves; Galliformes; Numididae. The record is from RNAcentral.
AUGCCCCCAGGGUGGUGCUGGGCUCUGCCCUGUCCCUGUGCCCGGGGCUGCUGGAGGAGUGGGGAACCUUCCCUAGGGCCCCCCAGCUUCAGGACCCCCCUGCUUCUGUCCUGCAUGGGCAGGGUGGGAGCUAUCCUCUGCACCCCCCUGCUCUGUCCCCGCUUCCUGGGGUUUUAUGCAGGCAUUGAGCCAGGGACCAGCUCAGCUGCCGGCCCUGCCCUUGGACAGGUGGGCAAGCAGCAGUUUAAAGGGCUUUUAAAAAUUAUUCUUUUCCUUUUUGCCUUCCAGGAGCAGAGAGCAAAGCCCCUCUGGAGAGACCCACAUUUGGGGACAUCUACCAUGUCAAAGGAGCCAUCAGCCUGCCCUAUGCCGAGAUCAGGGAGCCCUUUGAAGCCUGGUACAACCUCACCGGGGGGAAGAGCCGCAUCGAGUACUACGGCGGUGGGUGCAGAAAGCUCGCGGCCGCCCCACUCCUCUGCUCCCCACGGAGCCACCCCAGUGCCAGCACCAUGGCUGGAACCCGGUGCUGUCCCAUCCCCAGGCCAAGUGGUCACGUUCCAGUUCGGCUCCGUGGGGCCCUUCGGUGCCAGCUUCAAGGUGACACCGGAGACCACGGAGACGGAGGUCAACGUCCGCAAGUGUUUCCGCAUCAACGGCACCGACAGGGAUCCCAUCGCCCCACAGAGCGUCUUCCCCAGCCUGGAGCACUUCAGGGUGAGCCCUGGGAACAAGGCACGGGAGGGGACAGGGGACGACGGUGGUUGCCACCAGAGCUCCCAGUGAGAGGGUGGAAGUGGUCGGGAAUGGGGCAAACGCGAGGCCAGGUCCAGGUCUGGCAUCCUGGGGGGGGGCACGGUGCCCAGCUGGGGACGCGGUGGCAGCGCGGUGUCCCCGACGUUCCAGUGGGUGCGGGAGGAGCGGUUCCGCGGGCAGCACUGCGCCGUAUGGCAGAACGUCUCCUACUGGGGCCAUAAGAAGAACGUCUACACGCUGCGGGUGGGCAGCUCGGCGCGAGGCCCCGUGCCCCUGCACUACGAGGUGCGGGGCUACAACAGCCUGCUGGGCUCCCACUACGACAAGUACGAGAUCGAGUACAGCGCCUUCGGGCACCGCUUCGCCCCCAGCGUCUUCCAGCUCCCGCAUGGUGAGCGGCCGCUGCCACCCCAGGGCCCUGCUGGGGGUGUGCCUGCAUGAAACACGGCUCUGCAUCCCUCUCUUUAACUUGUUUGAGUGGAGUUGCAUGCACCCUCUCGUUUUGGUCAAUAGGUUUAGGAGAAAGGGGGGUGGGACGAAAGGUAAAAAUGUUAACUGCGGUGAUCCCGGUGCUGGGGAACCCCAUCCUGGUGAGGUGCAGGGAUGCUCCAGCUCUGGUUGCAGAUGCA